AUUGAACGCUGGCGGCAGGCCUAACACAUGCAAGUCGAAUGGUAACAGGAAACAGCUUGCUGUUUCGCUGACGAGUGGCGGACGGGUGAGUAAUGUCUGGGAAACUGCCUGAUGGAGGGGGAUAACUACUGGAAACGGUAGCUAAUACCGCAUAACGUCGCAAGACCAAAGAGGGGGACCUUCGGGCCUCUUGCCAUCAGAUGUGCCCAGAUGGGAUUAGCUAGUAGGUGGGGUAACGGCUCACCUAGGCGACGAUCCCUAGCUGGUCUGAGAGGAUGACCAGCCACACUGGAACUGAGACACGGUCCGGACUCCUACGGGAGGCAGCAGUGGGGAAUAUUGCACAAUGGGCGCAAGCCUGAUGCAGCCAUGCCGCGUGUAUGAAGAAGGCCUUCGGGUUGUAAAGUACUUUCAGCGGGGAGGAAGGGAGUAAAGUUAAUACCUUUGCUCAUUGACGUUACCCGCAGAAGAAGCACCGGCUAACUCCGUG
This 490-nucleotide ribosomal RNA is filed under the name uncultured bacterium. RNAcentral's name for it is "partial 16S ribosomal RNA". It matches the Rfam family "Bacterial small subunit ribosomal RNA", at positions 30 to 507 of the family's 1533-position model. The record is from RNAcentral.